Small nuclear RNA from Mobula hypostoma (lesser devil ray), 107 nucleotides. NCBI's taxonomy places the organism in Eukaryota, Metazoa, Chordata, Chondrichthyes, Myliobatiformes, Myliobatidae. The record is from RefSeq and is a predicted model, not a curated record.
UUGCUCACUUUGGCAGCACAUAUACUAAAUUUGGGACGAUACAGAGAAGAUUAGCAUGGCCCCUGCAUAGGGAUAAUGCACAAAUUCGUGAGGUAUUCCAUAUUUGU